Long non-coding RNA from Numida meleagris (helmeted guineafowl), 1264 nucleotides. RefSeq lists it as uncharacterized. The record is from RefSeq and is a predicted model, not a curated record. The transcript is spliced from 4 exons. Lineage: Eukaryota; Metazoa; Chordata; Aves; Galliformes; Numididae.
AGAGGAUGUUCUAUUGAAGGGUGUAGCUUUCCAGCUUUUAGGUUCAGAAGCAAUAAAGUAGCCUUCUGGGGAAACAGUUUGCUUGGCUGCCCUGUGUGACACAGCUGAUGGCCGCUCUCCUGCAGGGAUGGAGCUAAGCUGCAUGUGGCCCUACUGCCAGAAUACAGUGACCAUGCACCAGUGGGACCCAGCCAGCACAAGGCACAGCCAGGCCAGACAUAUGACUGACUUCCUCUGAGGAGGUAGAACAUGUGCGCUGUGGAGAAGCAGUAACGUACAGCCUGUCUGUUUCGCUGUGGCUCUCCUUUGUGUGUGGAGUCUGAGCCUGUGGUUCUGGUAUAAAGGGCUGGUCCAAGCCUGAGUUUAUCAAACUUCAGAAAAAGCAAGAAACUGGACUUAUUACCUCCACCUAUACAGCGCCUGAUUGCUUGAAGCAUGCUAGCCACAAGUCUUCUCUGUCGUACUACCUUCUGCUAAGAUCUGAUGGCACAUAAGCCUUGCUGCUCUCGCAAGUAGAAACCAGGUUGGGUGCUUUCAUCUGCCCUCUUUUGAAUUGCAUCAAUUCCAAUUACAAGCCAGAAAGAGGAGGAAAUGGAGGAGAACUGCCCACCACGCUGUGUCACCUGUGGCCAGGUACAUUUACCAGAGGAAAACCACUUGUACAGCUACACUGAGGAAGUGGAUGAUGAUCUGAUCUGCCACAUUUGCCUGCAACCUUUGCUUCAGCCAUUAGACACGCUCUGUGGUCACACCUUCUGCACUGCCUGCCUUACGAACUUCCUCUUGGAAAAAGACUUCUGCCCCAUGGACCGCAAGCUGGUGGCUCUCCAGAAUUGCAGGAAGUCCAGCAUACUGGUGAAUAACCUCCUGGACAAGCUAAUGGUUAGCUGUCCUUUCACAGAACACUGCUCAGAGGUUGUGCAACGUGGUCACCUCGAACAGCAUUUCCAAACCAAGUAAGUUUUUGUUGAGGUGGUGAGGCUUUUUCAUUGCUCUGUCUUUUCCUUAAGGAGAUGGAAAAAUAUGAGCAAUUAACACUGAUUUAAAUAGACUGUAAAUGUAAAGACAGACUUAUCAAUUUCAGUCCCUGGGAGCACCUGUACUAUCAUGAGGUUAGAACUGAAUUAGUAUUUGAUGAUAUCUCACAUUUUUUUUAUCAUUAGCAGUUCUGGGCAGAUAUCUUGUGGUGAGCUGCAUAAUGGAAGCAUGUAUUUAGUCAUCCAAAGAGAUUUGUGAGUUUUGGGAAGCUGAGUUAUCAUAAAUA